This 565-nucleotide ribosomal RNA is filed under the name uncultured bacterium. RNAcentral's name for it is "bacterial SSU rRNA". It matches the Rfam family "Bacterial small subunit ribosomal RNA", at positions 338 to 916 of the family's 1533-position model. The record is from RNAcentral.
CCUACGGGAGGCAGCAGUGGGGAAUUUUCCGCAAUGGGCGAAAGCCUGACGGAGCAACGCCGCGUGAGGGAUGAAGGCCUCUGGGCUGUAAACCUCUUUUAUCAAGGAAGAAGAUCUGACGGUACUUGAUGAAUAAGCCACGGCUAAUUCCGUGCCAGCAGCCGCGGUAAUACGGGAGUGGCAAGCGUUAUCCGGAAUUAUUGGGCGUAAAGCGUCCGCAGGCGGUCUUGUAAGUCUGUCGUUAAAGCGUGGAGCUCAACUCCAUUUCGGCGGUGGAAACUACAAGACUAGAGUGUGGUAGGGGCAGAGGGAAUUCCCGGUGUAGCGGUGAAAUGCGUAGAUAUCGGGAAGAACACCAGUGGCGAAGGCGCUCUGCUGGGCCAUAACUGACGCUCAUGGACGAAAGCUAGGGGAGCGAAAGGGAUUAGAUACCCCUGUAGUCCUAGCCGUAAACGAUGAACACUAGGUGUCGGGGGAAUCGACCCCCUCGGUGUCGUAGCUAACGCGUUAAGUGUUCCGCCUGGGGAGUACGCACGCAAGUGUGAAACUCAAAAUGAAUUGACGG